Molecule: ribosomal RNA, 402 nt
Filed under: uncultured Nitrosovibrio sp.
Lineage: Bacteria; Pseudomonadati; Pseudomonadota; Betaproteobacteria; Nitrosomonadales; Nitrosomonadaceae
Also listed under: 1 other name
Description: bacterial SSU rRNA
Rfam family: Bacterial small subunit ribosomal RNA
Source: RNAcentral
UGGGGAAUAUUGGACAAUGGGCGAAAGCCUGAUCCAGCAAUGCCGCGUGAGUGAUGAAGGCCUUAGGGUUGUAAAGCUCUUUUACCCGGGAUGAUAAUGACAGUACCGGGAGAAUAAGCCCCGGCUAACUCCGUGCCAGCAGCCGCGGUAAUACGGAGGGAGCUAGCGUUGUUCGGAAUUACUGGGCGUAAAGCGCGCGUAGGCGGUUUUUUAAGUCAGAGGUGAAAGCCCAGUGCUCAACACUGGAACUGCCUUUGAAACUGGAAAACUUGAAUCUUGGAGAGGUCAGUGGAAUUCCGAGUGUAGAGGUGAAAUUCGUAGAUAUUCGGAAGAACACCAGUGGCGAAGGCGACUGACUGGACAAGUAUUGACGCUGAGGUGCGAAAGCGUGGGGAGCAAACA